RNAcentral lists this long non-coding RNA (220 nucleotides) under Salvia miltiorrhiza (redroot sage). RNAcentral's name for it is "long non-coding RNA (SMIL_LNC010912)". Lineage: Eukaryota; Viridiplantae; Streptophyta; Magnoliopsida; Lamiales; Lamiaceae. The record is from RNAcentral.
GAAAUACAAUUACAAUCUUUAGCUUCUCUUUCUCUAUGCAUUAUGAUGAUACAAUGUUUCAACAUGGUAUCAGAGCAGGUUUAACCAUAGGAACUCAGAAACGAAUCAUCAUCGUUCAUAAUCCAAAACCAAAACAUUCCUAGCCAAUUCAAAUCAGUUUGUGGAGAAACUCACCGGCGACAGUUUCGAUCCCAAAUCUCGAGAAUCUCCAGCUCAACCA